UAAGUGGUAGUUUAUAUUAAAACAUAAAGUUGCAAACUUUAAGAAAGUUCCACUUUU
RNAcentral lists this transfer RNA (57 nucleotides) under Onchidium reevesii. RNAcentral's name for it is "tRNA-Cys". The record is from RNAcentral. Lineage: Eukaryota; Metazoa; Mollusca; Gastropoda; Systellommatophora; Onchidiidae.